UUAAGCGACUAAGCGUACACGGUGGAUGCCCUGGCAGUCAGAGGCGAUGAAGGACGUGCUAAUCUGCGAAAAGCGUCGGUAAGGUGAUAUGAACCGUUAUAACCGGCGAUGUCCGAAUGGGGAAACCCAGUGCAAUUCGUUUGCACUAUCGUUAACUGAAUACAUAGGUUAACGAGGCGAACCGGGGGGAACUGAAACAUCUAAGUACCCCGAGGAAAAGAAAUCAACCGAGAUUCCCCCAGUAGCGGCGAGCGAACGGGGAGCAGCCCAGAGUCUGAAUCAGCUUGUGUGUUAUGUGGAACGGUCUGGAAAGUCCGACGGUACAGGGUGAUAGUCCCGUACACCAAAAUGCACAGGCUGUGAACUCGAAGAGUAGGGCGGGACACGUGGUAUCCUGUCUGAAUAUGGGGGGACCAUCCUCCAAGGCUAAAUACUCCUGACUGACCGAUAGUGAACCAGUACCGUGAGGGAAAGGCGAAAAGAACCCCGGCGAGGGGAGUGAAAAAGAACCUGAAACCGUGUACGUACAAGCAGUGGGAGCACCUUCGGGUGUGACUGCGUACCUUUUGUAUAAUGGGUCAGCGACUUAUAUUCUGUAGCAAGGUUAACCGUAUAGGGGGAGCCGCAGGGAAACCGAGUCUUAACUGGGCGUUAAGUUGCAGGGUAUAGACCCGAAACCCGGUGAUCUAGCCAUGGGCAGGUUGAAGGUUGGGUAACACUAACUGGAGGACCGAACCGACUAAUGUUGAAAAAUUAGCGGAUGACUUGUGGCUGGGGGGUGAAAGGCCAAUCAAACCGGGAGAUAGCUGGUUCUCCCCGAAAGCUAUUUAGGUAGCGCCUCGUGAAUUCAUCUUCGGGGGUAGAGCACUGUUUCGGCUAGGGGGUCAUCCCGACUUACCAACCCGAUGCAAACUACGAAUACCGAAGAAUGUUAUCACGGGAGACACACGGCGGGUGCUAACGUCCGUCGUGAAGAGGGAAACAACCCAGACCGCCAGCUAAGGUCCCAAAGUCAUGGUUAAGUGGGAAACGAUGUGGGGAAGGCACAGACAGCCAGGAUGUUGGCUUAGAAGCAGCCAUCAUUUAAAGAAAGCGUAAUAGCUCCACUGAUCGAGUCGGCCUGCGCGGAAGAUGUAACGGGGCUAAACCAUGCACCGAAGCUGCGGCAGCGACACUAUGUGUUGUUGGGUAGGGGAGCGUUCUGUAAGCCUGCGAAGGUGACCUGUGAGGGUUGCUGGAGGUAUCAGAAGUGCGAAUGCUGACAUAAGUAACGAUAAAGCGGGUGAAAAGCCCGCUCGCCGGAAGACCAAGGGUUCCUGUCCAACGUUAAUCGGGGCAGGGUGAGUCGACCCCUAAGGCGAGGCCGAAAGGCGUAGUCGAUGGGAAACAGGUUAAUAUUCCUGUACUUGGUGUUACUGCGAAGGGGGGACGGAGAAGGCUAUGUUAGCCGGGCGACGGUUGUCCCGGUUUAAGCAUGUAGGCUGGUUAUCCAGGCAAAUCCGGAUAAUCAAGGCUGAGGUGUGAUGACGAGGCACUACGGUGCUGAAGUAACAAAUGCCCUGCUUCCAGGAAAAGCCUCUAAGCAUCAGGUAACAUUAAAUCGUACCCCAAAACCGACACAGGUGGUCAGGUAGAGAAUACCAAGGCGCUUGAGAGAACUCGGGUGAAGGAACUAGGCAAAAUGGUGCCGUAACUUCGGGAGAAGGCACGCUGGUGUGUAGGUGAAGUCCCUGCGGAUGGAGCUGAGACCAGUCGAAGAUACCAGCUGGCUGCAACUGUUUAUUAAAAACACAGCACUGUGCAAACACGAAAGUGGACGUAUACGGUGUGACGCCUGCCCGGUGCCGGAAGGUUAAUUGAUGGGGUUAUCCGUAAGGAGAAGCUCUUGAUCGAAGCCCCGGUAAACGGCGGCCGUAACUAUAACGGUCCUAAAGGUAGCGAAAUUCCUUGUCGGGUAAGUUCCGACCUGCACGAAUGGCGUAAUGAUGGCCAGGCUGUCUCCACCCGAGACUCAGUGAAAUUGAACUCGCUGUGAAGAUGCAGUGUACCCGCGGCAAGACGGAAAAGACCCCGUGAACCUUUACUAUAGCUUGACACUGAACAUUGAGCCUUGAUGUGUAGGAUAGGUGGGGAGGCUUUGAAGCGUGGACGCCAGUCUGCGUGGAGCCAACCUUGAAAUACCACCCUUUAAUGUUUGAUGUUCUAACGUUGGCCCCUGACCGGGGUUGCGGACAGUGUCUGGUGGGUAGUUUGACUGGGGCGGUCUCCUCCCAAAGCGUAACGGAGGAGCACGAAGGUUAGCUAAUCCUGGUCGGACAUCAGGAGGUUAGUGCAAUGGCAUAAGCUAGCUUGACUGCGAGCGUGACGGCGCGAGCAGGUGCGAAAGCAGGUCAUAGUGAUCCGGUGGUUCUGAAUGGAAGGGCCAUCGCUCAACGGAUAAAAGGUACUCCGGGGAUAACAGGCUGAUACCGCCCAAGAGUUCAUAUCGACGGCGGUGUUUGGCACCUCGAUGUCGGCUCAUCACAUCCUGGGGCUGAAGUAGGUCCCAAGGGUAUGGCUGUUCGCCAUUUAAAGUGGUACGCGAGCUGGGUUUAGAACGUCGUGAGACAGUUCGGUCCCUAUCUGCCGUGGGCGCUGGAGAAUUGAGGGGGGCUGCUCCUAGUACGAGAGGACCGGAGUGGACGCAUCACUGGUGUUCGGGUUGUCAUGCCAAUGGCACUGCCCGGUAGCUAAAUGCGGAAGAGAUAAGUGCUGAAAGCAUCUAAGCACGAAACUUGCCCCGAGAUGAGUUCUCCCUGAGACUUUAAGUCUCCUGAAGGAACGUUAAAGACGAUGACGUUGAUAGGCCGGGUGUGUAAGCGCAGCGAUGCGUUGAGCUAACCGGUACUAAUGAACCGUGAGGCUUAACCUU
This 2911-nucleotide ribosomal RNA is filed under the name Klebsiella pneumoniae subsp. ozaenae. Its description in RNAcentral is "bacterial LSU rRNA". It matches the Rfam family "Bacterial large subunit ribosomal RNA". Lineage: Bacteria; Pseudomonadati; Pseudomonadota; Gammaproteobacteria; Enterobacterales; Enterobacteriaceae. The record is from RNAcentral.